Molecule: ribosomal RNA, 470 nt
Filed under: uncultured soil bacterium
Lineage: Bacteria
Description: bacterial SSU rRNA
Rfam family: Bacterial small subunit ribosomal RNA
Source: RNAcentral
AGAGUUUGAUCCUGGCUCAGAACGAACGCUGGCGGCAGGCUUAACACAUGCAAGUCGAGCGGGCCCUUCGGGGUCAGCGGCGGACGGGUGAGUAACGCGUGGGAACGUGCCCUCUUCUCCGGAAUAGCCUCGGGAAACUGAGAUUAAUGCCGGAUACGCCCUUUUGGGGAAAGAUUUAUCGGAGGAGGAUCGGCCCGCGUUGGAUUAGGUAGUUGGUGGGGUAAUGGCCUACCAAGCCGACGAUCCAUAGCUGGUUUGAGAGGAUGAUCAGCCACACUGGGACUGAGACACGGCCCAGACUCCUACGGGAGGCAGCAGUGGGGAAUCUUGGACAAUGGGGGCAACCCUGAUCCAGCCAUGCCGCGUGAGCGAUGAAGGCCUUAGGGUUGUAAAGCUCUUUCAGCGGGGAAGAUAAUGACGGUACCCGCAGAAGAAGCCCCGGCUAACUCCGUGCCAGCAGCCGCGGUAAU